This 3786-nucleotide long non-coding RNA is filed under the name Nicotiana benthamiana. Its description in RNAcentral is "long non-coding RNA (NBEN_LNC024615)". Lineage: Eukaryota; Viridiplantae; Streptophyta; Magnoliopsida; Solanales; Solanaceae. The record is from RNAcentral.
UCAUUUAAUCGUUUUAACAACUUGUAUUAACAUGUGAUCAACAUUUAAAUAACAUCGGGAAAUGAAAUUAAGAGACAGACUUAGACUGAUAUCAUACCAAAAUAAAUACGAAAAUGCCAACAUGUAUCUCUACCCAGAAACCGGUGUCACACUAUCCACGGAUUAUCUAAGAAUACUACAUAUAAAUUUUUGAAAAAGAAAUACAGUAUGUCUCGGAUACAAGUAAUAACAAAACAUAAUAAUAUAUAGAAGAGUACGUCGGGCCUGCAGACGCCUGCAGCACUACCUCAGGAUCUUUGUGAACUGAAGGCUGACUCCCCAAGUACUACUAUCCCAAUUGUCACACUUCCUUUUUACCGCUCCUGCAAGGGGCAAAGGGAGUUUUUCCAAAUAAAGGACAAUCAAAACGAGAUUUGCUUAAUUAAUUCAGAGUCUCCACUUGAGAGAUUUAUGGUGUCCCAAGUCACCGGUUGAAUCCCAAAUCGAGGAAAAGAAUGACUCUAUUUAACAGUCCGCGUACCAGAAAUCCGGAUAAGAAAUUCUGUUAACCCGGGAGAAGGUGUUAGGCAUUCCCGAGUUUCGUGGUUCUAGCACGGUCGCUCAACUGUCGUAUUUAGAUUAUUUAUCUGAUUUUAAUACAUAUGAACCUAUGUGCCAAUUUUAACUUUUAACCGCUUUAAUUUAAUUUAAUAAAGAAAAUUAAACGUCGUCUCACAUAUGUCUUUGGAUUGCGCCGCAUGAAAUAAACUGCGAUCCUGGACACAUAUGAUUCGACGUUUUGGGAUUUAAAUUUGGGUCGCAUGAAAUGCACACCUGAGUUUAUGGAAGAUAACAUUAUUAAAUACGCGCCUAAAGAUGCUAAGGCGUUAUUAUUCUUGAGAAGGCAGUGAAAUUCGCUAAACGGCCUAUCCCGAAAUCUACGGAGUUAAUAUAUACAUUUAUGAGGGCCCACAGUUUGUGCCUUUUUAUUUGGCGAGGCACGUCACAUUUAUUUUAAAAGGAAAAUCCUAAAAUGACUACAUUUUCUUUAUUAAGUUCGUCUCUAAAUAUAAAAAAAAAUCCUAAUUUAUUUACAUGCUUUGCGAGCGGGUCUCUUAUUAGUUAUUAGAUUUGUAAGAGAGGAUAACAGAAAAAUGCACUCGAACUCGAAAGGUGAAAAAUUUUCUUCAUGCCUUAUUCAAUAAACGAACUAAUAAAGCUGACAUGUGUACGAGAUUGACAAAAUAUUGAAAACGAACUAACCAUUCUCCAAAUUGAUUUAAACUAACAUUUCUAACAUUGAUUUAGACUAAUGGAAUUAACGGCUAGAAAAUGUUAUCAACAUGGAUGCUAAUAUUUGGCCUAAAUACUGCCUAACGGAAUAGAGUGCUACCUAAUUAAACAAUGUUCCUACAUGAUUCCAAAACAAGCCUUUUGUUCAAUGAGGUACUAUCUGGUAUUUGGAAAUAGUCUAAAGAGCCUAACAUGCUUUUGAGAUGUACUAUUUAACAAGUAAUACUGAAACCAUAGAACAUGAUUUGUACAACAUCAAUCAAUUUUAACUAAGCAUGUGAGGAUGGAGGUUUACAACUAAACUACUACAGAAUAUUGUUCAGUUAUACAUAGCCCACACUUACGUGAUUUGAGUUGAAGACAUGAACUAUUAUAUGUAUGUAGCUUAAUGUUCAAUAUACAACUAAAAGGAAUUCAAAACAACUUCAACUAUUAAUUUUUCAUUCAUGCUUCUAAUUUCAGCUUACAUUGAGCCAGUGUAUCAGUUGUGUAUCUGGUAUUUGGAAAAGCAAAGAGGAGAGGAAGAUCAGUAGAAGCAGUAGUAGCACAACAAUAGCAGUACGACUAACCAGUAGAACAUCCAGUAACAAACACCACAGGAAACCCCAGGAAUAGAUUAACCAAGCAGAAAACCAAGAUGCUCAAUGGAACAAGUACUCUAGACCCAAUAAAAAUCCAACAGUAAACCCAGGAAACACCACUUGAAUACAAGUAGUACUAGAAACAAACACAGACAAACAUAGAAGUAACCAAUUGCAAAAGAAGCAAUAACUUUUGAUUUUUUUAGCACUCAAGAAAGAAGCUUGAAGCUUCAAUGAAACAAUAGCAAUUAAUGCUAAUUUCAACAGUGAAGGAAAGCAGAAUCAUCUCAAUUUUUUGCUAUCAAAGUCUGAAAUUCUUAAGAUUCAAAUUUUUUUAUAUCUCCUCUUAAGUUCUGAAAAUCUGAUCUCAAUAUUCCGUUCUCUAUCUCACUCUAGACUCUCUCUCCAAAACAUCCAGUUUCUAAUUAAUCAUCAACUCUAUGUAUUUAUAGUAACCCCCUAGAUCUUCCCUCCUUUGAAAAACUUCACUUACCCGACCAACAAUCCCAAAACAUCUGCCAAUUUUUACCUAAAUCCCACUAAGGAAUGCUUUUCCUUAUUUUAUUCCCUAAAUUAAGGCAUGAUAUAAGGGCUUGCUCCCCACUAGCAUUAGACUAAUGCAUAAGUUCUUGUCUUAUUAGUGCUUGACUAACAGACCAUUAACUUAGUCAAUUAUGAUCAUUUUUCAUUCCCAAAAUACCCCUAUAAUCCUACUUUUAUUACUGCCCUGCCCUUAAAAUCAGUAUUAAAUCAAAUUAAUUCUUAAAAAUCUAUUUAAUCCUAAAAACUAACCAGAACUAACGUCUGAUUAUUCAUUGAAUUAUUACAGCUAUAUCAAAUCCAUAUCCUAAGUUCAAUCACUGAUUGCAGAAAGGGUGCUAAUCAAAUGGCAUGAGUUGGUCACAUUGCGAACCAAUCCUGACCAACUCAACACCAAUUGAUCAAGCAGGCAUUUGAUAAUGCAAACUAAGAUUGAAGCAAUACUGAACAUGCAUAUCAAUGCAAGUCUUAACACAGAAGAGAGAACAUGUUGGAAAUUAUACUGGAAUGAACAAUCAUGCUUCUCUAGUUUUUCAGGUGAUUUCAGUUGACGACACUUAUUUAAUCAACCAUAUAAGCUAUAAUAACAACAAACACAGAGUAUACAAACAUGUUGAUGCAUGCUUUGGGGCAAAAUAGGGGACCAAAUAUGAACUAAUUACUUGACGAUUUUAAUCAAGUUAAACACAUAGCUCAUCACACAAAUAUAUUUAACAAUCAAGCAGAAGAAUCGACCAAAUAAAAGGUCAAUCAGAGAUAAAUAGAACAAAAUGGAAGAAACUGAAAGAAAAUCAAAUGAGAACUAAACUAAACAGGUAAACAGAUAAAAAUAUAGAAUCAAAGGAGAAGAAAAUAGAUACCUUAGAAAUGAAGCCAAGGGCGGACAACUCGAACUCGAACAACUUUGAGGUCGAACGGACCUUAGUUAAAGUGUUCUCGACAGAGAACACGUCGACUAAUGUCGAUUAGACCCCAAAUCUCCUUUUAUGUAAGCUAGACUCCCUGAUUUAGAUUUCUAGGGGUUCUUGAGGGCCUGAUUUGGGGUUCGAACUUUCUGGUUAGAUUCAAACCAAAACAAGCUUGUUUUGUCAUGAGGGAAGUCAGGGGAUUGUCUGAUGUGAGUUUAGGGCCGGUCAGUAUAAGUUUCCGUUUGGUUCAAAUCUUUAAAUGAAGAUUCGAGAAGUUCUGGGAAGAUUCGAACCAAACGGUUGCUAUAUUUGGAACGGGGUUGGUUAGAUGGUUGUAGGGUGUUAAGAUGGUGUCCGGCAGUGUCAUUGCCGCCGGGUUUCUGGUGAAGGAAUGAGGGGGCAGCUAGCUAGGGUUUUUGGGUGUUUGGUCUCUCUGAAAGAGACGAAGAGAGAGACGAAGGGUGUUUGAAUGAGGUGGGGUUGAG